CGCCUGGGGAGUACGGCCGCAAGGUUAAAACUCAAAUGAAUUGACGGGGGCCCGCACAAGCGGUGGAGCAUGUGGUUUAAUUCGAUGCAACGCGAAGAACCUUACCUGGUCUUGACAUCCACGGAAGAAUUCAGAGAUGGAUUUGUGCCUUCGGGAACCGUGAGACAGGUGCUGCAUGGCUGUCGUCAGCUCGUGUUGUGAAAUGUUGGGUUAAGUCCCGCAACGAGCGCAACCCUUAUCCUUUGUUGCCAGCGGUCCGGCCGGGAACUCAAAGGAGACUGCCAGUGAUAAACUGGAGGAAGGUGGGGAUGACGUCAAGUCAUCAUGGCCCUUACGACCAGGGCUACACACGUGCUACAAUGGCGCAUACAAAGAGAAGCGACCUCGCGAGAGCAAGCGGACCUCAUAAAGUGCGUCGUAGUCCGGAUUGGAGUCUGCAACUCGACUCCAUGAAGUCGGAAUCGCUAGUAAUCGUGGAUCAGAAUGCCACGGUGAAUACGUUCCCGGGCCUUGUACACACCGCCCGUCACACCAUGGGAGUGGGUUGCAAAAGAAGUAGGUAGCUUAACCUUCGGGAGGGCGCUUACCACUUUGUGAUUCAUGACUGGGGUGAAGUCGUAACAAGGUAACCGUAGGGGAACCUGCGGUUGGAUCACCUCCUUACCUUAAAGAAGC
This 675-nucleotide ribosomal RNA is filed under the name Salmonella enterica subsp. enterica. Its description in RNAcentral is "bacterial SSU rRNA". It matches the Rfam family "Bacterial small subunit ribosomal RNA", at positions 870 to 1533 of the family's 1533-position model. The record is from RNAcentral. Lineage: Bacteria; Pseudomonadati; Pseudomonadota; Gammaproteobacteria; Enterobacterales; Enterobacteriaceae.